AAUAUCUGACAAAUGGACUUUGGGGUCUCUCAUUAGUUGCUUAUAUGAAUCAGCAGCCAAGGUUUUUCUCAUCUGUAAGAAAUGGACAUUCCCACGUACCUCGCCGCUCUUGUACUAUGGUUUGAUGACCUAUGAUGUAAGACAGUGCACAGCAUGGGGCCCACUCUGCUAAGGACUUCCCAUAAAUGAGGAUUGAGAAGCACAAGCGUCACUCCGUGAGAGGUGGGUUUAUGUGCUCACAAUGAGUGACUCAGUGCCAGGCUUUGACAGGACAGUCAGAGCUAAAAUUCUGUUUCUGCUAGAUGAUUAAUACAGACAGGUCACUGGGUAGAAACCCAGGCCGGGUUAGGGUCAGAGCAGAGGGGAGUGGGAAGCCUCCUUUCUGGAGUGUCAAGUCUCAGUGCUGACCAUGGGACUUGCAUCUGCUCUUCUGGACUAUGGUUUCACGUGUUCUUGCAUCAGUUUCUGGGCAACAAAACAACUCUCAUUUCCUGUUAUUUCCACAGCAGAGUAAACAGGCUAAACUUCGGUCAAUCUCAGAAACAAGAGUUUC
RNAcentral lists this long non-coding RNA (553 nucleotides) under Mus spicilegus (steppe mouse). RNAcentral's name for it is "lncRNA (ENSMSIG00000030971.1)". Lineage: Eukaryota; Metazoa; Chordata; Mammalia; Rodentia; Muridae. The record is from RNAcentral.